UGAGGAACAUGACCUUCGGCGGGGGAUAGCCGGCCCAACGGCCGGAUAAUACCGCGUACGACCACAUGGGGACAUCCCUGAGUGGUGAAAGCAGCAAUGCGCCGAUGGAGUGCCUCGCGGCCUAUCAGCUAGUUGGUGAGGUAACGGCUCACCAAGGCGACGACGGGUAGCUGGUCUGAGGGGAUGGCCAGCCACAUUGGGACUGAGACACGGCCCAGACCUNUACGGGAGG
Molecule: ribosomal RNA, 232 nt
Filed under: uncultured bacterium
Lineage: Bacteria
Description: partial 16S ribosomal RNA
Rfam family: Bacterial small subunit ribosomal RNA
Source: RNAcentral